GGAUGCGAUCAUACCGGCACUAAUGCACUGGAUCCCAUCAGAACUUUGUAGUUAAGUGUGCUGAGGCGAGAGUAGUACUAGGAUGGGUGAUCCCCUGAAAAGACCUCGUGUUGCACCCC
Molecule: ribosomal RNA, 119 nt
Organism: Elaeis guineensis (African oil palm)
Lineage: Eukaryota; Viridiplantae; Streptophyta; Magnoliopsida; Arecales; Arecaceae
Source: RefSeq, a predicted model, not a curated record